Chanos chanos (milkfish) is the source of this 127-nucleotide small nucleolar RNA. RefSeq annotates it as small nucleolar RNA SNORA71. The transcript has a single exon. The record is from RefSeq and is a predicted model, not a curated record. NCBI's taxonomy places the organism in Eukaryota, Metazoa, Chordata, Actinopteri, Gonorynchiformes, Chanidae.
CCCUGUAUCGAAAGUGACUAUGGUUAUUUGGUUGCCAGGUCAUUGAUAGUACAGGGAGAAUGAACUGAAAGUCUUUCCCGUGUUUGCUGGACUGCCUGUUCCUGCCAAACCCUGAAUCUUUCAGACA